Molecule: long non-coding RNA, 899 nt
Organism: Bombyx mori (domestic silkworm)
Lineage: Eukaryota; Metazoa; Arthropoda; Insecta; Lepidoptera; Bombycidae
Exons: 2
Source: RefSeq, a predicted model, not a curated record
ACUAUGAGAAGUUUUUUGCUUUAUUUUAUUGUUUAUUGUUUUGACGUUAUAUUUAAAAGGUUGAAAAUUAUAAGAUUAAAAUAAAUGUUUUAAUCCAACCCACAACACAAAAUACGAAUUAUGAAUGCCAGAUGAAGGCCAGAGGUGAAACAAAAUUCUAAGAUUACUUUCGGAAGUGUGCCAAAAACUACUUAAAAAUUUUACAACACAAGAUUAUUUUCUUCUUUGAAAUUAAGACUUCUUAUCUGUAAUAUACCUACCAAAAUUCAUUAAUAAAAACUUUCAAUAUCUUUCUUAAUUUAAAAGAGAUUUAUAAUAUUGUUACGCAACUUGGUAUGCUAUUCGAUGCUUGAUUUUAUCUAACACUGCUGAAAAUGCAGUCCUAAACAACAACACAAAGAUUUAUAAUUAAACCCUUUCCUAAGAUCAGUGCCACGAUUAUCAAUUUCCUAUCUGCUAAGCUAAUUAAAAACAAAUGAAAAUAAUUCGAGUAUUUAUAUACAGUUCAAAUAUUUUAGGAACGAAAUUACCCCAGAGCCGAAUGGUUACCAAAAUAAAAAGUAAGAAAUGUAAUACAGUAGUAUUCAUAUCUGCAAAUCUGCAAAUCUGUUUUACAAGUAAUUCUUAGAUUUCUUUUAUCAUCAGUUUAUAGAAAAAAUACAAUUAAAACAAUUAUACUUUCGCAUUUUGUAAUUAAUUGAUGUAAUGUGAUGCAAACUUGUUACUAUUUUAUUGUAUGCUGAUGUAAUGUAAUGCAAACUCAACACGAUGUGAAAUAAAAAGGAGAAUUAAACCGUUUUAAGUACAAAAUCGUGUACGUAACACAAUGUUUCAAGGCAAACAAAGUGUUAAACAAAAUCACGAAAUGCAUUAAUAAUUAAACACACUAUUUCAUAAAA